UUUCCUUCCGUAGCACUUACUGAAGCUUUAGCAGCCUGAAAGGGCGAAUGCUAGCGACUAUAAAUAAAUAUGGCGUUCUUAAUUGCUAGUCUCUAUUAUCAGAGGCGACAUUGCCAAAUUGUCGGGGACACCCUAAAGAUCUUGAUACCAAGCUGGCAACGAAAGACGCCAGUGGCCGAGCUAACAGCCCUGGGUAUGGUAAUAAUUCAAGAUAUGUAACAAUGGGUAAUCCGCAGCCAAGUCCUAAACUACGCAAAAGUAGCAUGGAUGCAGUUCACAGGCCAAAUGGUGAUGGGUAGAUUAGUAAAUCUGCUUAAGAUAUGGUCGGUCCCUCUGUGAGAGCAGAUGGGGAAGCUACAUUAAGCAUAUUUCGUUAGUGAGUAUGCAUAAACGUAACUGAAAACGUUCCGUAGGUGAACCUGCGGAAGGAUCAUUA
This 436-nucleotide ribosomal RNA is filed under the name Lipomyces starkeyi. RNAcentral describes it as "partial 18S rRNA". The stretch from base 51 to 348 matches the Rfam family "Group I catalytic intron". From Rfam's summary of the family: Group I catalytic introns are large self-splicing ribozymes. They catalyse their own excision from mRNA, tRNA and rRNA precursors in a wide range of organisms. The record is from RNAcentral. Lineage: Eukaryota; Fungi; Ascomycota; Lipomycetes; Lipomycetales; Lipomycetaceae.